UUGCUUCGGCGCGCGCUUCGGCGCCGCCGAGGUCACUUAAACUCUUUGUUUUUAUAAGCAUUUCUGAGUGGCCGAAAGGCAAAAAUACAAAUGAAUCAAAACUUUCAACAACGGAUCUCUUGGUUCUGGCAUCGAUGAAGAACGCAGCGAAAUGCGAUAAGUAAUGUGAAUUGCAGAAUUCAGUGAAUCAUCGAAUCUUUGAACGCACAUUGCGCCCGCCAGCAUUCUGGCGGGCAUGCCUGUUCGAGCGUCAUUUCAACCCUCGAGCCCGACUCUUUUGAGGACGGCUCGGCGUUGGGGGACGGCAGACUCCCCCCGGCAUCUCGCCGGGGACGCCGCCCCCGAAAUUUAGUGGCGGCCCUCCGAGGCGACCUCUGCGUAGUAACUUGUUCUCGCACCGGAAAGCUCAGAGCGGCCACGCCGUAAAACCCCAACUUUUUUCAGGUUGACCUCGAAUCAGGUAGGACUACCCGCUGAACUUAAGCAUAUCAAUAAGCGGAGGAA
Molecule: ribosomal RNA, 504 nt
Filed under: Gloeotinia temulenta
Lineage: Eukaryota; Fungi; Ascomycota; Leotiomycetes; Helotiales
Description: eukaryotic LSU rRNA
Rfam family: 5.8S ribosomal RNA (bases 100-253)
Source: RNAcentral